This 429-nucleotide ribosomal RNA is filed under the name Pseudomonadota bacterium. RNAcentral's name for it is "Proteobacteria bacterium partial 16S ribosomal RNA". It matches the Rfam family "Bacterial small subunit ribosomal RNA", at positions 355 to 776 of the family's 1533-position model. The record is from RNAcentral. Lineage: Bacteria; Pseudomonadati; Pseudomonadota.
UGGGGAAUAUUGGACAAUGGGCGAAAGCCUGAUCCAGCCAUGCCGCGUGUGUGAAGAAGGUCUUCGGAUUGUAAAGCACUUUAAGUUGGGAGGAAGGGCAGUAAGCGAAUACCUUGCUGUUUUGACGUUACCGACAGAAUAAGCACCGGCUAACUCUGUGCCAGCAGCCGCGGUAAUACAGAGGGUGCAAGCGUUAAUCGGAAUUACUGGGCGUAAAGCGCGCGUAGGUGGUUCGUUAAGUUGAAUGUGAAAGCCCCGGGCUCAACCUGGGAACUGCAUCCAAAACUGGCGGGCUAGAGUAGGGCAGAGGGUGGUGGAAUGUCCUGUGUAGCGGUGAAAUGCGUAGAGAUAGGAAGGAACGCCAGUGGCGAAGGCGACCACCUGGGCUCAUACUGACACUGAGGUGCGAAAGCGUGGGGAGCAAACAGG